This 752-nucleotide ribosomal RNA is filed under the name uncultured bacterium. Its description in RNAcentral is "bacterial SSU rRNA". It matches the Rfam family "Bacterial small subunit ribosomal RNA", at positions 8 to 796 of the family's 1533-position model. The record is from RNAcentral.
AGAGUUUGAUCCUGGCUCAGGAUGAACGCUGGCGGCGUGCCUAAUACAUGCAAGUCGAGCGGUAAGGCCUCUUCGGAGGUACACGAGCGGCGGACGGCUGAGUAACACGUAGGAACGUACCCCAAACUGAGGGAUAAGCACCAGAAAUGGUGUCUAAUACCGCAUGUGCUCUUCGGAGUAAAGCUACGGCGGUUUGGGAACGGCCUGCGUCCGAUUAGCUUGUUGGUGAGGUAAUGGCUCACCAAGGCGACGAUCGGUAGCUGGUCUGAGAGGAUGAUCAGCCAGACUGGGACUGAGAACGGCCCAGACUCCUACGGGAGGCAGCAGUAGGGAAUUUUCCACAAUGGGCGAAAGCCUGAUGGAGCAACGCCGCGUGCAGGAUGAAUGCCUUAGGGUUGUAAACUGCUUUUAUCUGUGACGAAUAUGACGGUAGCAGAUGAAUAAGGAUCGGCUAACUCCGUGCCAGCAGCCGCGGUCAUACGGAGGAUCCAAGCGUUAUCCGGAAUUACUGGGCGUAAAGAGUUGCGUAGGUGGCAUUGUAUGUCGGUAGUGAAAUCGUGUGGCUCAACCAUAUAAACAUUAUCGAAACUGCAAAGCUAGAGGACGAGAGAGGUUAUUGGAAUUCCCAGUGUAGGAGUGAAAUCCGUAGAUAUUGGGAGGAACACCGAUGGCGUAGGCAGAUAACUGGCUCGUUCCUGACACUAAGGCACGAAAGCGUGGGUAGCAAACGGGAUUAGAUACCCCCGUAGUCC